This 253-nucleotide ribosomal RNA is filed under the name uncultured bacterium. RNAcentral's name for it is "partial 16S ribosomal RNA". It matches the Rfam family "Bacterial small subunit ribosomal RNA", at positions 524 to 776 of the family's 1533-position model. RNAcentral also lists the same sequence under 1 other name. The record is from RNAcentral.
UACGUAGGGCGCGAGCGUUGUCCGGAGUUACUGGGCGUAAAGGGCUUGUAGGCGGCUGGUCGCGUCUGCCGUGAAAUCCCCUGGCUCAACUGGGGGCGUGCGGUGGGUACGGGCCGGCUUGAGUGCGGUAGGGGAGGCUGGAACUCCUGGUGUAGCGGUGGAAUGCGCAGAUAUCAGGAAGAACACCGGUGGCGAAGGCGGGUCUCUGGGCCGUUACUGACGCUGAGGAGCGAGAGCGUGGGGAGCGAACAGG